Molecule: transfer RNA, 73 nt
Filed under: Bacillus sp. UFRGS-B20
Lineage: Bacteria; Bacillati; Bacillota; Bacilli; Caryophanales; Bacillaceae
Description: tRNA-OTHER
Rfam family: tRNA
About the family: Transfer RNA (tRNA) molecules are approximately 80 nucleotides in length. Their secondary structure includes four short double-helical elements and three loops (D, anti-codon, and T loops).
Source: RNAcentral
CGGGAAGUGGCCUCAGCUUGUAGAGCACCUGUUUGGGACCAGGGGGUCGCAGGUUCAAAUCCUGUCUUCCCGA